RNAcentral lists this long non-coding RNA (688 nucleotides) under Lactuca sativa (garden lettuce). RNAcentral's name for it is "long non-coding RNA (LSAT_LNC009443)". Lineage: Eukaryota; Viridiplantae; Streptophyta; Magnoliopsida; Asterales; Asteraceae. The record is from RNAcentral.
GACAUUCGUUUGCACCAAUAAAUCCCUAAAUCCUUUUGUCGUCUCUCUAACGCAUCCACAUCCAAGAAGAAUCAGUUUUCCACCCCUCCCCCUUCUCUCUACUGUUAUCCUUGAAAGCACACCGUCGAUCGAUUUUGCUCCUUCUACUACUAUGUUCUUUCAUCUUUCUUCUGUAUCUUCUAUUUUCCUUUCAGUUUGGGCUUUAGAAAAACGGCAGUCCUCGAUGGCGGUAGUGUAGACGAUCUAAGACAAUUAUAAGACGAUUUUUGCAAGUAUGUUUUAUCGGCCCGCUUUUGAUACAGAAUUUCAUCUUCAAUUGAUAUCGGGCACGAUUUUGCAGUUGGUGUAAUUGCUUCGUUCUAUGUUUGCAUCGGCUGGCUGGGUUGGAGCCGAUCUAAUUUUGCAUUGCCUGACUGGGUUGGAUAAAGCUCCCCACCAUCUAUGUGAAUGUGUUUAUUUGUGUGUGUAUUUAUGGCUACGGUUGUGUAUAUGUGUAUUUGUGUGUAUUUAUGUUUCUUUGCGUCUUUUCCAGUAUUUAUUAUUAUGAUUCUCUCUUUUCUCCUUCUCUGCUAUGUUCAGAUCUUGAAGAUGGUUUGUUAUUUGCCAUUAGCACUGCCUUCACCACUUACAUGGCCUUCACUACUCAUCUCCAUUAAUGAAGAAUGAUAGUUUAUUUUGGACUUUUUGC